AGGUGGAAUAAGCGUGGAUACAGGUAAUCUGGUUCUAAUUUUAUCUUUUAUUUGGCUUUCACUGUCUCGAGAUGUCACAGUUCAAAAGGUUUUGAAGAUGAAUAUGGUACUAUUAAUCUAAAGUUCAUUGGCAGUGUACUGCUUUUGUCUUGACCCAGCUUUUGACAAAAUUGUAUACAUUUUGCUAGCUAUACACAAAGCAGCCGGAACACAACUCGGAAUUGCAUGCAAUGACAUCCCUGAAGUCGAACCUGGAGUCCGUUGCCCAACUGGAGAAGCAAGAAUUACGCCGUAUGCUCUUCUUGAUAUUUACAUUUAACAUUUGCAAUUAAUGCUUGAAUUUCCAUUCCACCCUUGCAGCAGAGCUUCCUACUAGCAUUAUAUCACCUGCAUUUAUUUGUUGAUAUACCAAUAAUAUUAAUAUCAAUAUUUCAAUUAUAAUCUUCAUAAUAGAGCAUAGAUUAAUAGACAACUGUAUUCACUAUUCAGUCUUCUAUAGACAACUGUGUAUUUGUCUAAUGCAUCAAUUUCUGUUGGAGAGAUGAUAUGUUAAACGUGUGCAGGGGUUUCAAAUUGCCUGCAUCUUGCGUGAUUCACACUGUUGGCCCCGUCUAUUAUUUUGAAAGGAACCCUGUAGCCUCCCUAAGAAAUGCUUACAGGUGAAUUGUAGCACUGAUUGUACUCUUUCUUAUGACUAUUUCUUUGGUAUAUCAUCCUAGAUAAGAUCCCUCGUUUACUGGUCACAGGAACAGCUUGAUGGUGGCCAAAGCCAACAAUAUUGAGUACAUUGCUUUUCCUGCCAUAUCUUGUGGUAAUAACUUGUAAGUUGCCAAUGGAACCACCUAGCUAGGCCUUUUCUGUUGGCUCCUAUAUUUCUGCUGCCUCUUGAUGAAUAUAUUGCAUUGCACAACUCCAAUUUAAGUAGAUAAAAGUUUUUCUUGUUGAAUGCUUUGGUUGAGUUAUAGCCAUACGUGCCUAGAUGGUUGAGAUUGUGAGAGUUGAUUGGAGAAAGGAAUUGUUAUGCUUAGAUAUUGCCUUGCCCAAGUUUUGGCCAUCAAUAAACACAAAAACUCCAAGUGUCAAGGAUGAGAUAACAGAUACUGAAUUCAUUAACUUUGGUGUUCUAUAACUAGUGACAAGUUUGUUACCACUCUCAAUUUUGUAUAUUUUUUAGGUAUCCUUUAAAGAAAGCUGCAACAGUGGCUAUAUCUACGGUCAAAGAAUUUGCGAAUGACUUCAAAGAGGUGUGGAUAAAAACUAGAGUUUCCUGUGAUGGACCAUUUGAUUUCAAUAGAUGCUCACAGCUCUCUGCUAGAGGGCUAGAUACACUCUAAAAUUACAUAACUUGUAGCUCUUUCAUUGUUGUUGGCAGGUGCACUUUGUUUUGUUUUUGGAUGAUGUUUACAAGGAUUGGUUGGACAAGACAAGGGAAUUGCUCCUACAUUAGCUUGGUUCAAGUAUCCACUUCUGAUUUUGUAGAAUAAAUUUUAAGUUCAAUUAUCAAAUCCGAAUACAAAUAUGCUGUUCAUUGUCAUGUUACAGUAACCUACAAUUGAACAAAAUAAACUUUUAUUUAUUUAUAUUUGGAACAAAAUCUUCUUGUCGUUUGAUUUGAUAUCCUUUUAUAUUCAGUGCAACUCUAUUGAAAAACUGUAUCAUUUUCUUAUCAGUUUAACUGUAGUUUUUGUAAUUUAAAUACUUUUCUGUUUAUACAUUUGAGGAAAUGAGCUCCAGUCCCUUCUCAAAAAUUAACAAUUAUAGAUAUGAGAGCAUUGGAAGACUUCAAUCUCCGUAAACAGAAGACAAGUAACGGAUGUUGAAUAUAAAAUUGAUAAUUGUAGCUUAUUUAAGUUUUGCAUCGUGGAAAUGGAAGAUUUAAGUAUUAGAACCAAAACUUCAAUAAACUCCAAGAAAAAGACCAACAGCUGAGUGCUUCCAUCUUACUAGUCACAGCACCAGCAUCGACUAGUCACUGCACCAGCAUCGACUAGUCACCGCACCAGAAAUUAAGUAAACAAGGUUCUUGUCGUACGAAGUAACUGUUCUUUAAAGGGAAUUAUCUUUCUUUUUCAUCAAAGAAUAUCAAUGUACAAUUAAUCCUACUAGGCUAUUACGUACAAUCCAUCUAAUUCAUCUUUCCCGAGGAAAUAAUCCCACAUGAAUAAAAAUUAAACUAGCUCUAAAAUUUAAAAUA
This 2194-nucleotide unclassified non-coding RNA is filed under the name Hevea brasiliensis (rubber tree). Lineage: Eukaryota; Viridiplantae; Streptophyta; Magnoliopsida; Malpighiales; Euphorbiaceae. The record is from RNAcentral.